GGUUUUGGACCAGAUAGAUGAGUAUGGAAUCAGUAUUACUCUACCUAUUGUGAUUGAAAUGAAGACUACAGAGAACAGUGUCGUCAGCUCAAGGUCUGAAAUUUGGGGAAAAGUUGAUAUUUCUGUUUAGUUGAUUUGCUGUAUCAUUGAUAUAUAAUCAUCCUUUUUAUACGACCGCAAAAUUUGAAAAAUUUUUCGUCGAUAUUGCUAUCACGGCGUCGCGUCGUCGUCGUCGCGUCGUCGUCGUCGUCGUCGUCGUCGUCGGCGUCCGAAUACUUUUAGUAUUUCGCACUCUAACUUUAGUAAAAGUGAAUGGAAAUCUAUGAAAUUUGAACACAAGUUUAUGACCACAAAAGGAAGGUUGGUAUUGAUUUUGGGAGUUUUGGGUCCAACAUUUUAGGAAUUAGGGGCCAAAAAGGGCCCAAAUAAGCAUUUUCUUGGUUUUCGCACUAUAACUUUAGUUUAAGUUAAUAGAAAUCUAUGAAAUUUGACACAAGGUUUAUGACCAAAAAAAACGGUUGGGAUUGAUUUUGGGAGUUUAGGUUUCAACAGUUUAGGAAUUAGGGCCAAAAAAGGGCCCAAAUAAGCAUUAUUCUUGGUUUUUCGCACAAUAACUUUAGUUUAAGUAAAUAGAAAUCAAUGAAAUUAAACACAAUGUUAAUGACUACAAAAGGAAGGUUUGGUAUUGAUUUUGGGAGUUUUUAGGUCCCAACAGUUUUAGGAAUUAGGGGCCAAAAAGGGACCCAAAUAAGCAUUUUUUCUUGGUUUUCGCACCAUAACUUAGUAUAAAUAAAUAGAAAUCUAUGAAAUUUAAACACAAGGUUUAUGACCAUAAAAGGAAGGUUGGUAUUGAUUUUGGGAGUUUUGGUCCCAACAGAAUAAGGGGCCCAAAGGGUCCAAAAUUAAACUUUUUUUUUGUUUGAUUUCAUCAAAAUUGAAUAAUUGGGUUCUUUGAUAUGCGAAUCUAACUGUCAUGACUGUGUAUGUAGAUUCUUAACUUUGGUCCCGUUUUCAAAUUGGUCUACAUUAAGGUCCAAGGGUCCAAAAUUAAACUUAGUUUGAUUUUGGACAAAAAAUGAAUCAGUUAGGUUCUUUGAUAUGCUGAAUCUAAAAUUACUUAGAUUCUUGAUUAUUGGCCCAGUUUUCAAGUUGGUCCAAAUCGGGGUCCAAAAUUAACUUUGUUUGAUUUCAUCAAAAUUGAAUAAAUGGGUUCUUUGAUAUACCAAAUCUAACUGUGUAGUAGAUUCUCAUUUUUGGUCCUGUUUUCAAAUUGGUCUACACUAAAGUCCAAAGGGUCCAAAAUUAAACUUAGUCUGAUUUCAAAAAAAAUUGAAUCCUUGGGGUUCUUUGAUAUGCUGAAUCCAAAAAUGUACUUAGAUUUUUUUAUUAUGGGCCCAGUUUUCAAGUUGUCCAAAUCAGGAUCUAAAAUUAUUAUUAAGUAUUGUGAAUAGCAAGUCUUUUCAAUUGCACAGUAUUGCGCAAUGGCAAGAAAUAUCUAAUGCACAAUAUUGUGCAAUAGCAAAUUUUUUUUUUAAUUAGAGUUAUCUUUCUUUGUCCAGAAUAGUAAGCAAGAAAUAUCUAAUUGCAAAAUAUUGUGCAAUAGCAAGAUUUUUUUUAAUUGGAGUUAUCUUUCUUUGUCCAGAAUCAACUUAAAUCUUUGUUAUAUACAAUAUACAAUGUAUUAUUCACUUUUUACUACCAACUGAUAAAUUAAAAUAAUCUAACAUUCAGUGAUAACAAGCAGUUUUUUUUACAUCUUAAAUUUUAUGAUGUAUUUAAUGAGUAGUUAUUGUUGCAAACUCCAUUAGAAAUUUUAAUUGAAAUUAGUUUUGGAAUAAGGGAAAGGGGGAUGUGAUUAAAAAAUUGGGGGUAUUCAAUUGUUUCUCAAGUAGUUUUGAUGAAUUUAAGUCCAAUCGACUUCAAACUUAUACACAUUCCCUAUGAUAUGAUCUUUCUAUUUUAGUGCCAAAUUAGAGUUUUUACCCAAUUUCACGGUCCACUGAACAUGGAAAAUGAUAGUGCGAGUGGGGCAUUCGUGUACUAGGACACAUUCUUGUUUGAGAGGAUUAAUAUUCAACAGCAUAGUGAAUUGCUCUAAGAGAAAACAAAAAUUUUAAGUUCAUUAGAACACAUUCAUUCUGUGUCAGAAACUAUGCUGUUGUCAACUAUUUAAUCACAAUCCAAAUUUAGAGCUGAAUCCAGCUUGAAUGUUGUGUCCAUACUUGCCCCAACCGUUCAGGUUCAACCUCUGCGGUUAAAAGCUACGCCCUGCGGAGCAUCUGGUUUUAAUUCAUAUUUAGGAAGGACAAAUUAAUAGCAGAUAAUCAAAAACAAAAUUAAUGAGCAAUAUAACCUAGCAAAAUAUAAAGCUACCAUUUUAGUCUCCUCAAGAAAUUAGUCUCACCCAGUUAUCUCCCUUGAAUAUUUUAACCCAAUUUCAAUAUUUCAAGAGCAAAUUAUUUUUGGAACUUUCACUACUGUAAAUUCAGAAAUUAUUGUGUGCAUUUAUUAAUGCAAUUGUGUCAUUAAAAACUAAAAUGCAAUUUUAUUUAUUGCAAUAUUGAGAAAAAUUCUGUUUAAUUAAUAUAAAAAAUUUCAAAUUGAGUUUGAAUUAUUGCGAUUAUAACCUUGUUACAUUUUUCGCAAUACAUUGUAUAGUCGCCGUCAGCUAAAUUGUAGCGUUAUGUAAAAAAAUCAAACUAUCAACGCUUUCACUCGAAUAUAGUUUUUCACAUUCCAUUCAUAAAUCGCAAAAAGAAAAACCACUACUGACCAACCUUUUAAGUGAUCACACUGUAAUAAUCCUGACCUUCACAUUUUCCAGAAUAUUUUCCAUUGUAAUUCCCCAUCUUCGUUUCUAUGAGGAUCAUUGUUUACAUAUGACAUUCCACUGUAGCAGUCCUGAAAUGUUCCUUUCAUUGAUGUUAAGGUUCCCCGCGCUUUAUGCAAAUUUAUGAAAUUGAACUCCAGGAAACACUUCCGUAAAAACAAUGGCUGAUUCACCAUUCAAAAUCGUCUAUGAAAAAGUGAAGUCAGGGUUAUUACAGUGCGACACUUAAAAGGUAGGUCAGUAGUGUUUUUCUUUUUGCGAUUUAUGAAAUGGAAUGUGAAAAACUAUAUCUCAGUGAACCGAUUGAUAGUUUAGAUUAUUUUUACCGAUAACCGCUACGAAUUUCAGCUGACGGCGACUAUAAUAAAAACAUGGCUAUAACUUCUGAAUUAACAAAAAUUUUAUAAAAUAAAAAUGUGUAAUUAAAUCACCACAAUUAUUUGAAAAUUAAUUCUUCGCAAAUAUGAAUACAUCAACAAAGUAAAUAGCAAAAAAAAAAAAAAUGCUGCAAAGUCAGCUUGAAGGAGUUAAACAAAAUUAAAAAUGCAAUUCUUAUUUUGUUUACAGCAUUUGAUAUCAAAGAAAAUCAUGUUUUAAUUGAUACAUUUACAUCUUUCGCCUAUUAAAAGGCAAUGUUUGCAGAGUGGUCUAGAGGGUAAAUUGCAACAAUAAAUACAACAGAUUGUGAUUAUGACUUUUUGGCAUUAUUUAAAAAUGAUGUGGCAUGUUCAUUCUUUUGGAAAGUUAAGAUUUGUUCAGUUACUUGCUUCAGAUUGGUGGUUCACCUGGCCAUUCUACACCUACUAUUCUGAUUCAGAUUGGUGGUUCACCUGGCCAUUCUACACCUACUAUUCUGAUUCAUAUGAAAUAUUAUGAAUAUAAAACCACAACAAACAUAUCAUCAUUUGUCAAUAGUUUUACAGCUACUGUUUUAUUAGUUAAAAAUUUUUAACUUUUCUUAAACCUGGGAUGUUACAAAUUUUAAGGCAGAAGCUUUCAUGUUUUAUUUUUAUGAAAAAUGAAGUUAAAAAUUUAAUAUUUUAUUUUUAGGAAGCAGUGCCUUUUGCAGUUAUUGGAGCCAAUACAGUUAUAGAAGUUAAAGGUCGUAAGGUCAGAGGUCGUAUGUACCCAUGGGGUGUAGUUGAAGUAGAGAAUCCAGAACAUUGUGAUUUCAUCAAACUAAGGACCAUGCUCAUGUAAGUUGUAGAGGUUAAAGGUCGUAAGGUUAGAGGUUGUAUGUACCCAUAGGGUGUAGUUGAAGUAGAGAAUCCAGAACAUUGUGAUUUCAUCAAACUGAGGACCAUGCUCAUGUAAGUUGUAGAGAUAUAAAAUUCAAAAGGUCAGAGGUUAUUGAACUAAGUGGAAAUUUAAACCAUCUUUUAAGAGAGAUCAGGUGUCUACCCUGGCAGCCAUUGUACAAUGUUCUGAGUAAAAUUUGUUUAUUACUAAGCCAUUGCUUGAACAGUGUUGAAAUUUUUAUUUCAAAACUCUUUUCUAAAGACUGUUCUAAAGACUGUUUCAUGCUUUUAAAGUAAAAAGAGUAAUACAAAUUUAUGAUACUGAUUAGUGGACUUAUUUUGAAGUAGAUAUUACACUUUUACACUGACAGUUGAAAUUACAGGUGAGGACACAGAACCUUUUAUAAAUAGAAUAAAAUGUCAUGGUGGAAUUUAUGAAAGAAGUUACUUACAAUUAAAGAAACUUCACACGAGCUACUGCUACUGGUAGUAUAAAAGCUAUCUAUUAUUGCAUCCAAAAGUGAAUAAAAAUGUAGGAUUUAAUGAUUAUCAGGAUAUUUCUCUAUUUACAGUACACAUAUGCAGGACUUACAAGAAGUUACACAAGAAGUGCAUUAUGAGAACUUCAGAGCAGACAAACUUGCAGGAGGUGGUGGCCAGGCUGUGCCUAAGAAAGUCAGGUGUGUAUUUAACCCCUUAUUAUUUAUAUCAUCUAAGUCAGACUUUAUUUAUUAUCUGUUUUCUCCUAUUCUUCACUGUUGUUGUUGAGUUAUAGAUUCCUGCUAUCCAUUUAUUUUAUUUUUAUGCCCAUUGUGUGCUUUUCUUGUCAUUGUUAAUGAGGCCCCUCAUGGGGGGUCCUAGUAAUCACAUAAUCACCAUUUUUUUGCCAAUAUAAUCACAUAAUCAUUAAAUAUUUGCUUAUCUUUAGUAAUCAAAUAAUCAUAAACUAAAAAUACAGUCCUAGGUAAUCAAAUAAUCAUGAAAUAUUUGGCUUAAUAAUCAAAUAAUCAUUAAAAAAACGGCCAAGUAAUCACAUAAUCAAAAACCCCAUGAGGGCCCUCGUUAAUAAGGCCAGGAUCUCUGUGUUAUAAAAAGUGCGGAAAAACUAACUCCAUGCAAACAGAUUUUAGGUUUAUAUUGGAGUAACAACUUCUGUAUAGUGAUAUUCUUCUAAUGAUAUAUAUAUAGGAAUCUGUUUAGUAAUUGAUAUUAUGAAAAUAGAUGAAAAACCACAUGUUUUUUAAUGGGAGUUAACUCUUGAUUUACCCUAAAAAAAAUGAAAUAGUAGAAAACUUCAAUACUUUUUUCAGAUUAAGCAUCUAACAUUUUAGAUGAUAUUAAUAUUUAGGAACUAUUUCCACACAAAACUCACAGGGAGGAGGGGGUAAACAUUUUGUUAUCAAAAAUAUAAAAUAUGAUAGUGAAAAAUUUGAUAACUUGCACAAGUAAUAGACAGUGCUUAAUAUCAUGCAUAUUAUAUCCUCAUAUGAAAUGACACACAGAUAGUUUAUUAUGUGAAUAGCUUUCUGAAGAACAGAAUUGAAGAAAGAAUUUAAAAAGACAUCAAUUUAAUGUUCAUUGUAUCAUUUUAUCAUGUAUGUAACAUUCACACUUUACAGAGGAAGGCAGCGUGAAGAAGCUGUUGAGCAGGAGUAGGUCUCAUUUACAUAUUAUGCAUAUUCAUAAGUCAUUCAUGCAUGUCACUUUUAUUUUAAUCAUUCAAUUGUGUUAGUGUUAGAGGGACAUGUCAACUAUAACAGAUUAUUCAGAAUGAAAAGUUGCAUGAAUCCAUGAGUAACUUCCCUUCGAUAACAGACUGCAUGAAUUAAAAAAGUUUUCCUGCCCAAGCAAUUCAUUUCCAUGGUAACAGAUUUUUUCCUUUAUGCAAACUAAUAUUUCCUUAUUUUUACUAGAUUUGAGAUGAUUAAAAACUUUAAUUCACAUGUUUUGGAGGGAACAUGUGAAAGGUUUGUUUUAAGCCUAUAGGCUAUUAAGUUCAUAUACGAAAUGCCAGAAUAAAAAACCCAGGUGGUUGGCUUUGGGUUGUAUGAUAGCUCCAACUUUAACAGAAUAUUUCCAGCAAAGAAAUUGCAGGCUUUAUAAGUAUAAAUUUCCCUUGCAAAAAUUAAGCUUUUAUGGUAGCUAAAUUUUUUUUUGUUAACGUAAAACUGCUUUUCAUCAAAGAAACAAAAUAAAAAAAAUAAUCAGAAAAUGAAGCUUUUUCUACGCAGAUUAAUAAAGAUAAGAUAACAGCUUUUAGGCAACAAGAAAAUGAAGAAGAUAAAACAGAAUGCUAAAGAUUACUUAUUUCAUAACUAUUAUGGAGCCAAUUAAAACUACUUCUUUUAUUUACAUGAUUUUAUGUGGCAAAUCUAAAACUAUUCAUUCUAUAACCGAAAAAGACUCUUUUUUUUUUUGGACAAUCCACAAAAAUGAUAUUUUAAAAAUAAAAAGUUGUAGGUUAUAUUUUUGAUUUUCCCUUUGUUAUGAAUUUCAGAUAAUAUUGCAUGUGAAAUAAUUCCUUUAUUUUCACCUUUGAGACUUCCCUACCUUUGACUGGACCCUCACUUGUAUUAAAAAUUAAAUGAUGGGAUACGAUUGCCAAUGAGACAACAGACCUCUAGAAACUAAUAAGGUAGAAGUUAUAAACAAAAGCUCAUCAUAUGGCCUUCUACAAUGAGCAAAACACAUGCAUGGCAACCAACGAAAGAUUUGUGCUUUGACUAAUUGAUUUAGUCUGUCCCAUAUCAACCAUUAAUCAAUAUUUGGAUUUAUUCAAAACAUCUUCUUGCAUUACAACAAUUAAAAAAAAUGCACCAGUCUUUUCAAAAUGAUGAUUUUAUAUUUGACAGCAAUCAUCAAUAUACAUUACUCAUACGCCAAAAAUUGAAAUCGGCUAACAAAAAUUGAAUCCAACUAGGACCAGUAACAUACAAGGGUUUUUAUUAUCUGUUGCUUAUUAAUAAAAGUAUAACCAAUCGUUGUAUUUGAUUGUAAAAAUAAGAACACUUGUGACUAAAAGCCAAGAUGGAUAAAACUUGUGCUGGGCACAUUUAUAUCAUGCAUCUUUCAGUCACACCUUGUCUUAUUUUUUCUUAUUCAAAUACAGCGAUCAGUAUACUGUAAUUCACAGCAAGAUGGUAAAGGUUAUAAGGUUUUAAGGUGGUACCUAACACUUUCACUAAAAUUUAUUUGGCUCGUUUAAUUUUCAUAAAAUUUUGACAAAGUAUAUACUUUGACCCUUAAACAAAAAUAUAAAAAAUUCAAAAACUUUGAACCAAGCGUUUUAUCAGAAAAAUUACACUGGUUAUAUAGCAGCUUGACACACACCAAUUUUGAUCAUUGAGAAGCUUAAUAUUCCCUUUACAACACAACGUAAUUAAAACGUUAAGCUGACCUUA
Molecule: long non-coding RNA, 7469 nt
Filed under: Mytilus galloprovincialis (Mediterranean mussel)
Lineage: Eukaryota; Metazoa; Mollusca; Bivalvia; Mytilida; Mytilidae
Source: RNAcentral